This 4515-nucleotide long non-coding RNA is filed under the name Hordeum vulgare. RNAcentral's name for it is "long non-coding RNA (HVUL_LNC007859)". Lineage: Eukaryota; Viridiplantae; Streptophyta; Magnoliopsida; Poales; Poaceae. The record is from RNAcentral.
UAGUUGCUACAUAUCUGCAGUCCCUGGAAAAAUAUUUGGCAUAGAAGAACAACAGGGAUGAGACCUCCACCAUACGCAGAGGUGACGAACUUGCGGUAAACAUCCCAUUUGACUCUUCCAGAUUCACGCUCUUCUUCACAUUCCCUCCCUAUGGCAUGGCCAUCUGAUUCUAUUUCUGUGGUCAAAAUCUGCUUCUUCUGUUGUUUGAUUUCGGCCAAGCCAUGUGCUUUUGCUGGGUUGACCUGACUAAGGGAUUGAUCAUGUGCAGCCAUUUGCUCCGAGAGCUCUCCAUCUUUGUCAGCUAUCAGAUCAUCAUAUUUCCCAGACUGAACAAUCCUUCCAUCGUUCAUAACCUUCAAGUGACCAUUCACAGCCAUCUGUUAGAAUUAGAUGUUGCCAUGCCCGCAUGACAUUAUAACUCUACAUUUUUGCUCUAUUUUAAGAUAUCUACAAUGUUUUAUUUUUCUGUUUGAACCAAGUUUGAAAUGCACAACUUUUCUUUAACUCGGGUAAAAACUAGUUACGCGUGGAAAACUGGGUUGACACCUUACCAGAACGAGGUCUGAAUCUCGCAAGAACUCUAGCUGAUGAGUAACAUACAUGACUGUCUUAGAGGACAUUAGCCUCAGUAAGCAUUCCUGCAAAUACAAAUUGAUCAAUUAAUUCAUUUCAAGAAGUUGAUGCUGACCAGAUCAAGAAUAUAAAUACUCGAUGAAAAUACUCUAGCUUAUAGAUUAUUUAAUGGCUAUACAGAUUAGUACUGUAAACGCUGUGUUUACUUGUUUACUUAUGUUCCACGUCUUAUGCUGUAGGCCUGUAAAUUGUAGUGAUUGCCCUUGAAGCUCAUGUGUUGCUUAUGUAUUGCAGAUUGCUCAUGUGUAAUUACCUUGAAGAGAUGUGCACUAGUAUGUGCAUCCACAGCACUGAAGGGAUCAUCCAAGAAAUAAACAUCAGAAUCGCUGUACAAUGCCCUCGCAAGUUGGAUCCUCUGCUUCUGGCCUCCACUUAGGUUCACACCUCUUUCCCCAACUACAGUCAUAUCUCCAUUGGACCAUAACUCCAAAUCUCUAUCCAAAGCACACCCUUGUAGCACCUCUUCGUAUAAGCUUCUGUCCAUAGCUUUACCAAAGAGCACAUUGUCUUGAAUUGUCCCAGUUUGAAUCCACGCACUCUGUGGGACAUAUGCCCUUGACCCGACAACUGUUGGUUCUGCACCGCUAACCCUUGGAAUCUCUCCCAUGAUGCUGUAAAGGAGGCUUGAUUUGCCUGAACCAACUGGCCCGCACACCGCAACCUUGAGACCCUUCCCGAUGCUCACCUUGCUGUUGAUCUUGAGUGUUACCUUUGUUUUCUUCGAGCUAUUGUCAGCUUCCCAACUGUACUCUCCUGGUUCAAUUACUAUUUCACCAGUCAUUGCCAAGUCCUUCGUUCCAGUUAUGUUGCCAUAAAAACUUGGCUUCCCCUGGUAGUCUUCUUUGAUGAACUCCUCUAUUCUAUCCAAGGACACCUUGGUUUGUGUGACCAUUGACACAAGCUCAGGGAGGUUGUAGAUUGGGUCUUGGAGGAUUCUAAACGUGGCAAGGGCUGAUAAGACUGUUCCAGCUGACAAUGGUAUCUCCACAAGAAUGCAGACACCAAAGGUAACGACCGAAACCAACGUUGGUGAGGCCCAGAACAGGAAAGCUAUUGCUGAGCACGUAUAGAGAUACUUCCUGAGCCACCCCCUUUCCACAUCCCUGAGCUUCAGGAGCUUGUCCAAGUAGGCUGUCUCCCAUGCAUGAAGCUUCAAGAUCCUCAUGCUCUUCAUUGCCUCAGCCAUAGCCUUGAUGCGCGAGUCCUUCGCCUCCAUUAUCUUCAUAUUGAGGUUCUGCUGUGAAUUUGCCAGUGGCGUGUUGCUCACCAUCACCAACACUGUUACGAGGACUGCAGACAGCGAGGCCAUUGCACCAAGACUAUGGUACAGGAUGGCAAGUGCUAAGAAAAUUUGCAAGGGCAGCAACCAAAUCCCAUGGAUGUACCAGAAGAACUCACCAACCUUCUCGACGUCAACAUCAAGGAAGUUCACAACUUUCCCUGCAACUGUGCUCGAGUUCUUCAUUAGCAAGGACUUCUUGUAGAUGGACACCAUCAGUGCUGCGCGCACCUGGAAUCCAAUUCUGCGGGCGCCAAAGUACCACUGCCGCUGUGAGAGUGACUCAACUGUCUUGGAGGCAAAGAAGAGGCAUGCAAGCAUGUAGCCAUGGCCAUGGCCCUUUUCAGUGUUCUUGUCGGAGAGUAGCUCCACCAAGUAGGUGAUCAAGAAUGGUCCCAUAUAAGAAGAAAAAGUGUUGAGCCCUGGUAUUGGAAGCCAGUUACUGUAUUAACAGAUUGCCAGGACAAACACUAGUUCUAUUAUUGAAAAAAGAAGCAGAACUGUUCACUAACCUGCAAAGACUGCAUUGGUGACCAAAGGUGUCCAGACAGCACAAAUGAUGGCUUCCCGCAGUGGCAUCGGCUCUGGUUUCUGCUUGUGGAGUGUCUCCUGAAGCAAGGCAUAUGACUGCUCUGCCGUCUCGGACUGAGGCACAGACGGGAUGUGUUCCAGCUCGAGCCUCACCCUGUGCCCCUUCUCAAAGACUGGGUUCAGCCACCGGAAUGUGAGGCGACUCCACCACCCCGAGCUAGAGAACCUAUCCCUGCUGCUGUCAUCAGCGUCCUCCCUCAGUAGCAGCGGCUGGUCCAGCUCUUUCUGGUUUGCUUUGGAAAGGCUCAUAGCUACAACCACCAGGCAGAUGACGGUGCAGAAAGGAAGAGAAGCGAAAUCGACGACGACAGUUGCAGAAUCAAAGAGGCGAAGCAAAUGCAGCGUGGCGAGGACCGAUUCCGAUAGGAAGCUGAAGAACCACCAAGAAACAAGAACCGGAGGCCAGUUGGACGAUACUACUACUCCUGCAGCAUCUUCAUGCUUGAAGUAGAGCAAGAGUAGAGUAGACAGAAGCCAUGAGGCAGAUUCAAAUACCAGGCCCGGGGAGACGGCUCGCUGCUUCCAGAACCCAAGAACCGAGAACCCGAUAUGGGACAGCGCGAUGGAAGCGUUGCAGAAUGCAACUAUACUGGCUGCCCCUCCUCGCUGCCACGAGGCCAUGUCGCCGCCUUGCCCUGCCGCUGCUGCUUCCUGAUGCCUCCGCUUCCUCCGUUUCAAGAACUCUGCAAGGGUCCAAACCAGCAGGACGGCGAACGCUGCUGCCCGGACGCAGUCCAAUGCUUGCAAUUGCUCCAUGGGAUGCUGGAAAUCAUCAGAAGGUGGCAUGGAGCUGUGAAACGCAGCAAGAUGGCAAGGAAUUGCCCUGUUACACUGAGGCAAGAGAGUGAGAGACAAACUUGGGCAAAAGAAGCUAAGCAGUGAGUAGUGGGAGGGGACGGGGGCGUGUGCUGACCAAAAGGAGGACCUGUCAGCACGUGGUGGCUUGAGACGCGAUGUAGUUAGUAUGUACUGUAGUUGGGAUCUGCAACGGCAUCAAGCCUUGUGCUGCUGAUCUUUUUCAAGUGACGACCUCAAUGUUUACUGCUGACCUAAAACCAACGAAGAAGAUAGAAUCAAUGGACAAAUGUAUAUUGAGAUACAAGGGUUUACCGAGAGAGAAUCAAAGGGUAGAUAUUGUUGAGAUAAAGGGUUUUGCGGCAUGCGUGCAUGCAUCUUGAUUGGGUUUGCUGGCUGACAUCUACUCCCUCUGUACCCAAAUACAUGUCGCUGGAGUAGCUUAAGUUCAGCUACUCCAGCCACAUGUAUUUCGAUACAGAGGAAAUAGCUUGGACUCUUUUGGCAUAAAGCAGGGGAAAGGUCUGUAUCAAAGUCCAGGGAUAACGAAACAUGCACCAACUAGGCAACUAUUAGAGCUGGCCGCGGCGCGGAUGGAGUGAGUACAAAGUGCUUUGUCAUCUAAUCAAUUGCUCUUAUCCCGCCCAAGGGGAAGGUAUAUAUUCGAUUUCAGCUAAUGCAGUAUGCAGCUAACUGUGCUACUCCCUCCGUCCAAUAAUAUAGACGUUUUUUACACUAGUGUAUGAUGAUGUAUCUAGCAGAGGGGUUUCGAUAGGCUCGAGCCCCCUUCAAAAAUUGGAAAAGAAAAAAUACUACUAUUCUAUAAAACAUUUGACCUUAUUUGGAUCAAAUUUGAUUUUUUAUACACACAUUUAACUUUGAGUCCCUUUAUUUCUGUCAAGAUUUGUCAUUGCUAAUGUAGUGUCAAAAACGUUUUUAUAUUAUGAAACGGAAGAAGUACUUCUUCUGUUCUAAAAUAAAUGUCUUAAUUUUAUAUUAAUGUUAGUAUAAAAUAUACUACUAAGUUUGAGACACUUAAAACGUAACCAGCAUCCUGUCAGGGAGACGGCCGUUUAAACAAACAAACAAACACAAAAAACGUCGGGGAGAAGUUGAGCCUCACCGUCGAAGAAGAUUAACUGCAAUAUCCAGAUGCCACUGAUUGAAAAGACGACAGGACGGACAAAGAGAGCCGGGGGACGGCCAAUCCAAGGUUC